This 211-nucleotide ribosomal RNA is filed under the name uncultured crenarchaeote. RNAcentral's name for it is "partial 16S ribosomal RNA". It matches the Rfam family "Archaeal small subunit ribosomal RNA", at positions 468 to 679 of the family's 1478-position model. Lineage: Archaea; Thermoproteati; Thermoproteota. The record is from RNAcentral.
CGGUAAUACCAGCUCUCCGAGUGGUGUGGAUGUUUAUUGGGCCUAAAGCAUCCGUAGCUGGCUGGGUUAGUCCCCUGUUAAAUCCACCGAAUCAAUCGUUGGAUUGCGGGGGAUACUGCUCGGCUAGGGGACGGGAGAGGCAGACGGUAUUUCCGGGGUAAGGGUGAAAUCUUAUAAUCCCGGGAAGACCACCAGUGGCGAAGGCUGUCGG